AACGAACGCUGGCGGCAUGCCUAACACAUGCAAGUCGAACGAGACCUUCGGGUCUAGUGGCGCACGGGUGCGUAACGCGUGGGAACCUGCCUUUAGGUUCGGAAUAACUCAGAGAAAUUUGAGCUAAUACCGGAUAAUGUCUUCGGACCAAAGAUUUAUCGCCUUUAGAUGGGCCCGCGUUGGAUUAGCUAGUUGGUGGGGUAAAGGCCUACCAAGGCGACGAUCCAUAGCUGGUCUGAGAGGAUGAUCAGCCACACUGGGACUGAGACACGGCCCAGACUCCUACGGGAGGCAGCAGUGGGAAUAUUGGACAAUGGGCGAAAGCCUGAUCCAGCAAUGCCGCGUGAGUGAUGAGGCCUUAGGGUUGUAAAGCUCUUUUACUCGGGUACCGAGUAAAUGACGGUACCGAGAGAAUAA
RNAcentral lists this ribosomal RNA (417 nucleotides) under uncultured bacterium. RNAcentral describes it as "bacterial SSU rRNA". It matches the Rfam family "Bacterial small subunit ribosomal RNA", at positions 29 to 489 of the family's 1533-position model. The record is from RNAcentral.